GCUACGAACAGUUUCCUGCGAUUCUUUGGGACGGAAAAUUAAACCCUCUCUCCCCGCCGUCUCCAUCCUAAGAAGGCGCAGCCAGAGGAUGCUUGAGGAGCUCUCACUCGGGUCUCCCCUCGGCCCAGAGCCGCCGCCUCGGGCACCGGCUGGGGAGGCUUGGGAAGGCAAGCCUGGGGCAGAGCUGCGGGAGCCUUCGGCUGCUUCCCGCGGAGCUCAGCCUUCGGCCCAGGCUCCGCGCUGCGGGUUGCGGGCGGCCGCGCAGGCCUCCUGAGGACCGGGCUGCGCCAGAGCGGCAAGAGCCAGCGGGAGCUGUUAAGACUCCGGGGAGAGGAGGGCCAGCCGGAAUAGCCUCGCUCCAAGCAAGCUAGGGCCCACUUUAUGGGAGCGUGUAGCUCAUUCCUGCACUUCGCUGUCCCUCUGCAGCCUGGAAGAGUGGACGGGCGCAUGGCUUUAGGGACUAGGAAAGGAAUAGGUUCGAAUCCCAGUUCUGCCAUUUACGUGCAAUGUAACCUUAGGCAAGUGACUUAACUUCCUUUAGCCUGUUUCUGAUCUUUCCACCGAGGGCCAAGACAGCACCCUCCACACAGAUGUAAUGAAGAAAAAAAGAUCAUGGAUUUAAAGUACCUAGAAUACAGUAGGCACUCACCAAACUUUCAUCACUCCCUCUUUUCUUUUUCCAUCUCCCCCUAUUAAAAACUUUCCUACUGCAACAUACAUUCAGCGUUCCUGAGGUUCCUAAAGACCACAGGCCCAUCCUCUGCUGGCUGGUUGCAUCAUGCCACAGACCCAGCUGUUGACAGACGUCCACCCUGCCGCCUGACUGCACCACUUCUCCAAGAUCAACAACCCGGCCUGUGGGUAAAUCUCAACUGCCACCCCAGCCCCCAGACUUCAGGCCCAACCUAGUCUCUUGGGGACUCAAGGAUGACACCUAGGUGUGUGGUGAAGCUGAGAUUUAGGAGAUAAAAAGUGACUGUGGGGAAAAACUCAGUGAGCAAGUCAGUGACAGACUCCCAUUUUCUGGGUCUGCUUUGGAGGCGGGUCAGUCUGAUCUCUGCGGUUCAUCUUACAGGGCAGAGCUUGGGGGGGGGCACAAAGUCCUACCUUCUACCUACCGGGCGUAACUUUCAAACAUAAAUAUAUGUGUGCUUGUACUGCCCAAGCACAUGCACUAGUGUUCGUGUGUGCAAACACACAUGUUCAUCUCUGUUGGCAUAAAAUACGACCGGCAGCGAUGCAGAGCUAGGGUCUACACAGACACAGCAAGUGUAAGUGUCCAGUGCCAGGCGGGAGGAUGCACUUGUAAACGGGUAAAUUGCAUGUUAUACAUGCAAUUGCAUGUUCAGACAAUACUACCUAAAUCACUGCGUGCGCUUCUCCGAGGCCACGUUUUGCGUAUUUGAAAAAACUCCUUAAGUUACAAGUACGUGCGUACACGCUGCACAUGCACAGAUGCCCCAAUGCGACGGAAGGACCAUCAACCCAAAGACGCGCGCGUGCGCGAGUGUUCACACAGACGUGUGCCUUGGCGCCUGCACACGGCCCGCGCCCAGGCACGCGGACGCCUACACGUAUACACAGGCAUGUUUUACCGACGCAUCUGGGGCACUUUCUUUCAAAGAAAGUAAGGAAUGAAAACCUAAUCUGGGAGUCACCGGGGUUCAUCUGGAGGUCGCCCAAAGGGUAGAAAAAAUUGUAACAACGCUGGAGAGGGUGUCCUUGGUGCAGCUCCGCGCCCAGGCUAGAUGGAUACAAUACGCUUUCGAGAAUUCUAGGGGCUGCUUUAGGAGGAGGGGGGCGGGUGGGGGAGGAGGAGCACUCGGCAACUCUUGCCGCGGGCUUCUCAAGAAACAGGGAAACGCACCCUGCGGCUCUUCACUCCCCCCCACCCUCACAAAUGUAAGUACACGGUUUUAUCGCCUGUCCGACCUGCAGCCCACGCCCAUCCCUGACCGACCCCAAAUUCCCUGGCAGUCAAGAUUCCCGCCGGUGCGCCCGCUUAAGCAUCCCUAGGUGUCAGGCUGGGACGCGCCCGGGUCCGCUAGAGACUCAAAAGCAUCUCCCGCCGCGGGGCGGGAUCUGGGUGCCCUAGCCCUGGGCUCAGAGGCGGGUAACUUUGCUAAUCUCCCCCAGCGGCGGGGCGGGGGUGGGGGGUGGGGGGGACGUCGCACAACCGCUGAGCCCUGUCCGUGAAGACUAAACAAGGAAAGGAACAGGCUGUAAACACACAUCCUGACACGUGAGUGACAUUUACACGGUGCGAGAAGCCGCAGCCGAGGGGAAGGCAGGGGGUAGGGGGAGCAGGUAAAAGUAAUAUUCCGAGGCGUCGGAAACGGCGGCCCCUCGACGCCCCUCCCCCAGAUAGGGAAAAAGAAUCCCGAAAUCCCCAGAACCUGCCUUUUGUGGGAGGUGACAGGUGAACGGGAUUCAGGUCUGGCUACUCACGCCGCUGCCUACCUCCCCACCAUCUGCUUCCUCGCAGACAAGCAGACCCGGCGCAUAAUGAGGUAGCAGCCUCCAGCCGGCCACCGUGACUAACUCAGAACAAAAGCGCUCCCUCCACGCCUCUUCCAACAAAGGGGCCACCAGCCCCGGCGCUCCCCGAAGGCUGCGGGGCUCCCGGCUGCCGGCUGCGGAGCUGCCGCGCGCAAACUUCCCGGGGCUCCCGGGGCUGCCGGCGCCACGGAGCCUGGGCCGCGGAGGGAGGAAGCACAUGCGGCCCAGAGAAAGCAGGGAUGUUGCUCUUGGAGAAUGUGAAGACAGUUUGCUUCUUGACAAGCGAGCGAGCGGGCGCCCAGAUUUUUGCAGCCUCUCCGAGAGUCUCCCCCGAGGGAAAGGCAGGCAGAGAAAUCGCCGGAUUUGGGAGUCACUAGGGAAGGAUUCCGCGCGGAGGGAGCCGCCCUCCUUGGCCCCAGACCGGCUGCCUAGGGCCCCCCCUUUGGGCACUGCCAGUGGAUGACCUGAAACUCUGAGGAUGGUCUUGGGGAUUGGGGUCGGGGAAGCCUCUCGGAUAAUAACUGCAAAUAGAAAAAGAGGCAAAAACAAUUUCUUCUCUGCCUCGAAGCAGAAAGGACUGUUCUUAAAGCCGCUGGUUGCAGUCA
Molecule: long non-coding RNA, 3104 nt
Organism: Felis catus (domestic cat)
Lineage: Eukaryota; Metazoa; Chordata; Mammalia; Carnivora; Felidae
Exons: 2
Source: RefSeq, a predicted model, not a curated record